This 503-nucleotide ribosomal RNA is filed under the name uncultured bacterium. RNAcentral's name for it is "partial 16S ribosomal RNA". It matches the Rfam family "Bacterial small subunit ribosomal RNA", at positions 29 to 507 of the family's 1533-position model. The record is from RNAcentral.
AACGAACGCUGGCGGCGUGCCUAACACAUGCCAGUCGAACGAGAAAGGGGCUUCGGCUCCGAGUAAAGUGGCGCACGGGUGAGUAACACGUGGGUAACCUGCCUCUAAGAUUGGGAUAACUCGUCGAAAGAUGAGCUAAUACCGAAUAAGACCACAGUUCCCGCGGGAACAGGGGUCAAAGGUAGCCUCUGCUUGCAAGCUAUCACUUAGAGAUGGGCCUGCGCACCAUUAGCUAGUUGGUAGGGUAACGGCCUACCAAGGCAAAGAUGGUUAGCUGGUCUGAGAGGAUGAUUAGCCACACUGGAACUGAGACACGGUCCAGACUCCUACGGGAGGCAGCAGUGGGGAAUAUUGCGCAAUGGGCGAAAGAUUGACGCAGCAACGCCGCGUGAGUGAUGAAGGCCUUCGGGUCGUAAAGCUCUGUCGGGAGGAACGAAUGCUCCUGAGGUUAACAGCCUCGGGAGGUGACGGUACCUUCAAAGGAAGCACCGGCUAACUCUGUG